This 2417-nucleotide long non-coding RNA is filed under the name Homo sapiens (human). RNAcentral's name for it is "HSALNT0051356". Lineage: Eukaryota; Metazoa; Chordata; Mammalia; Primates; Hominidae. The record is from RNAcentral.
CAUUCACUUGGGCGUGACCUUGGGUACUCUUUGUAUGUUGAGAAUAUUAAUCCUUUGUCUAUCUCAUGUGUGGUCUACCUCUAUGCCAAAAAGAUCUUUGCAAGCCACAACAAGAUCUCUGCAAGCUGCAAUUCUGCAUGGAUGAAAUGCUGCAAGAUGAAACAAUAAGAAUAAAUGCAAAUUCUUAUUCUUGGGUCUGCAAGCUCAUGCUAUCCUUGGAAGGAGAAGGCGGGAUGUCCUGACCAUUCAUGACAUCAGAGGUUGAUGAGUUCAGUGGGAGGUAACAGUGGGAUACAGCUGCUAAAACAGCUGAAAAGGGACCUUCGCAUGCCUUCAUGGAGAUAGAGGGUUUACAAUGUCCUUCCCACCUCUGUGAAAGGGGCUCACUCUGGAGCCCUAGAGAAGGGUGAGAGGGCUGGAGCCCCCUUCCUGUGAGGAGUUGGCCCUGCUCAAUUUGGAACAGAGCAAGACUAUCCCUGCCUAGGGGGGAGCAGAUGAACCUCUGUGCCCAGAGGGCAGAGUGGGGUCCACGAGACAUCCCAGGGAGGUGGGUCCCAGCUGAGAGUGAGGAGGAACUUUUUCCUUAACUACCUAUUUCCAGAAUUGCAUCCCAAGUGCCUCCUACCCCUUUUCUUGCUUUAUCUUCUCCCUCACAGUGUUUGCAAUUUCUAGCAUACCAUACAUUUUAUUAAUUUUUUGUACUGUGUCCCUUUACUAAAGUGUCAGCCCCAUGAGGACGGGAGCGUUUGUUUUGUUCACUGCUGUGUCCCUUCCACAACCAUUGUUAUUGUUUCUCCCACUCAGAGCUGUGCAGAAAUGGGAUGAGCUGCUGAAUAGGUGGUGAGUGCCCCAUCAGGAGAGGCGAGCAAGCAGAAUCUGCCUGGCCACUUAGCAGGCAUUCUGUGCAGGGGGAUCCCAGUCUUCAUCUGCAGUUUUCCUACCUAGGUGAGGUCCGGAAGGGCCUUUGGGUCAACAGGAGACCCCCCUGGGCCUCCCAGGGUGGCGAGGGGCCUGGGAGUCAGCCAUCUGGAGCACCAGAGCUCUCCAACUGGGUCAGCUUCUGUUUAUGUUCUUGUCCUGGCCCAUCCUGCACCCCGGCCCCACCCUUGGUGAGCUUCAGUCCAGCCUCAACUCUCCUCCCAGCAUGAGGCCCUUGUGUUUUGGAAAAUCAACCGGCAUCACACCAGACUGAAAAUAUCUCAAAAUAUCGCUUGCGACUUCCUCCUGCUCCCCGAGGCCCCGCCUGGGCGGGCAGCAACCUUUCCCUUGCUGUUGAUUUUCAAGAAAGGCUCUUCCAUCACUGGGAUGCAGGGAAUUUCCAGUAUUUUUCUUCCUCUGGCCCUUUUUUUUUUUUUUUUUUUUUGGCCUUCAGAGGCCCACAUUGUGUUGUCCUGACGCAGCUCCAGGCAAUGUUUUGCCCCAAAGGCCUGGGCUGGGUCAGCGAGGUUUGGACCAGCAGCCCUGGCUCCUUGGGCGCAGGAACAAUACCUCCAUAAUUCACUGAAAGCUCCCCUCGGAUGACUUUUUCCUGUUGCUGAUUGUCUCCAAGUUCCAGACCUGCACAAACUGCUUUUUCCCCGCAGCUAAAUUUAAAAGGGCCAGACCCUGGAAACAGUGCACUAGGCUGCCUUCACCGUGGGGGCAAAGGUGGCGGAGGCUGGAUGGAAGUAGAGCCCUGAAGCCACCGCUUCCCUGCCAGCCCUGACACACAUACACAGGUGGCUGCAGGACUGUCUUCAUUUUAAUUCCUCAAACUGCCCUUAGAGCUCCUUGGGCCACAGCCACAGAUUGUGGACUUCAGAAAAGUUACUAGAUCUGUAGAGGUCAGAGGGGCUACAGCCGAGAAGACUUAAGGAGUCACAUGUGCUGUCCCAGAGCUGGGGAACAGGCAGGUCUGGAGGUCCACAGGGUGAUGCCAGAUCCCACUGCGGGGUGGAUUCAAAGGGCAGGAGGAGAUUCCGCUCAGGCAGGGCAGAGCAGGGAGAGCACAGGCAUCCAGGGGAACAGCUGAGCCCCUGGUCGCUGGAGGGUGCAGACACAGGUGGCAUGCCUACCCACCGGGGAAGUGGUCAAGGGCUGACAGUGCCAGGUGAGGGUCAGGUGCCAAGAGGGCCCUUCCCGGUUCUUGCAUUUGUGGCCACCCCGGGCCGGCAAGGAGGGGCUGCGCCAGCCAUCUCAGAGGUUCCAGCAGCCUUGCCCCUCUGCCCACAUUGGCCUAGCCUGUGGCUUUUGACAAGUGUAGAGUGAAAUCCUCUGGGCUUGACUUCUAGCUUUGCCACUGACUUGCUGUGUGACCUUCCAAAAGCCUUUUGCUUCUCUCUGCCUCAAUGUCCCCAUCUUCAAAGUGGGAAUAAGAAGAAGCACUUACAUCUUAGGGCUCUUAUGAGGUGUAAGCAAGUUAAUACUUAUAAAGUGUU